RNAcentral lists this ribosomal RNA (1032 nucleotides) under Ophiobolus artemisiicola. RNAcentral's name for it is "SSU rRNA". It matches the Rfam family "Eukaryotic small subunit ribosomal RNA", at positions 76 to 1119 of the family's 1831-position model. The record is from RNAcentral. Lineage: Eukaryota; Fungi; Ascomycota; Dothideomycetes; Pleosporales; Phaeosphaeriaceae.
AUACCGUGAAACUGCGAAUGGCUCAUUAAAUCAGUUAUCGUUUAUUUGAUAGUACCUUACUACUUGGAUAACCGUGGUAAUUCUAGAGCUAAUACAUGCUGAAAACCCCAACUUCGGGAGGGGUGUAUUUAUUAGAUAAAAAACCAACGCCCUUCGGGGCUUCUUGGUGAUUCAUGAUAACUUUACGGAUCGCAUGGCCUUGCGCCGGCGACGGUUCAUUCAAAUUUCUGCCCUAUCAACUUUCGAUGGUAAGGUAUUGGCUUACCAUGGUUUCAACGGGUAACGGGGAAUUAGGGUUCGAUUCCGGAGAGGGAGCCUGAGAAACGGCUACCACAUCCAAGGAAGGCAGCAGGCGCGCAAAUUCCCCAAUCCUGACACAGGGAGGUAGUGCCAAUAAAUACUGAUACAGGGCUCUUUUGGGUCUUGUAAUUGGAAUGAGUACAAUUUAAACCUCUUAACGAGGAACAAUUGGAGGGCAAGUCUGGUGCCAGCAGCCGCGGUAAUUCCAGCUCCAAUAGCGUAUAUUAAAGUUGUUGCAGUUAAAAAGCUCGUAGUUGAACCUUGGGUCUGGCUGGCGGGUCCGCCUCACCGCGUGUACUUGUCCGGCCGGGCCUUCCUUCUGGAGAACCUCAUGCCCUUCACUGGGCGUGUUGGGGACCAGGACUUUUACUUUGAAAAAAUUAGAGUGUUCAAAGCAGGCCUUUGCUCGAAUACGUUAGCAUGGAAUAAUAAAAUAGGAGGUGCGGUCCUAUUUUGUUGGUUUCUAGGACCGCCGUAAUGAUUAAUAGGGACAGUCGGGGGCAUCAGUAUUCAAUUGUCAGAGGUGAAAUUCUUGGAUUUAUUGAAGACUAACUACUGCGAAAGCAUUUGCCAAGGAUGUUUUCAUUAAUCAGUGAACGAAAGUUAGGGGAUCGAAGACGAUCAGAUACCGUCGUAGUCUUAACCGUAAACUAUGCCGACUAGGGAUCGGGCGAUGUUCUUUUUCUGACUCGCUCGGCACCUUACGAGAAAUCAAAGUUUUUGGGUCUGGGG